GAUGAACGCUAGCUACAGGCUUAACACAUGCAAGUCGAGGGGCAGCAUGGUCUUAGCUUGCUAAGGCUGAUGGCGACCGGCGCACGGGUGAGUAACACGUAUCCAACCUGCCGUCUACUCUUGGCCAGCCUUCUGAAAGGAAGAUUAAUCCAGGAUGGGAUCAUGAGUUCACAUGUCCGCAUGAUUAAAGGUAUUUUCCGGUAGACGAUGGGGAUGCGUUCCAUUAGAUAGUAGGCGGGGUAACGGCCCACCUAGUCAACGAUGGAUAGGGGUUCUGAGAGGAAGGUCCCCCACAUUGGAACUGAGACACGGUCCAAACUCCUACGGGAGGCAGCAGUGAGGAAUAUUGGUCAAUGGGCGAUGGCCUGAACCAGCCAAGUAGCGUGAAGGAUGACUGCCCUAUGGGUUGUAAACUUCUUUUAUAAAGGAAUAAAGUCGGGUAUGCAUACCCGUUUGCAUGUACUUUAUGAAUAAGGAU
RNAcentral lists this ribosomal RNA (478 nucleotides) under uncultured bacterium. Its description in RNAcentral is "bacterial SSU rRNA". It matches the Rfam family "Bacterial small subunit ribosomal RNA", at positions 28 to 493 of the family's 1533-position model. The record is from RNAcentral.